Molecule: RNA transcript, 5736 nt
Organism: Ctenopharyngodon idella (grass carp)
Lineage: Eukaryota; Metazoa; Chordata; Actinopteri; Cypriniformes; Xenocyprididae
Gene name: NACHT, LRR and PYD domains-containing protein 14-like
Exons: 5
Source: RefSeq, a predicted model, not a curated record
AAGACUUUGAGCUUUAUUUCAAGGAUGUCUUGUUUGGAUUUUUUAUUUUUGAGAAGCAGCAUGAAAAUGUCUUUUUUCUUUCCAACUUAAUUAUUUUGCUUGCAAAAUACUUUAUCCACAAAUGUAAAACUUUAUUUUAUGUAUUUAUUUAUUUAUUAUUUUUUUCUUCCUUUCUCAUUUUCAAUGUGAUGUAAUGUUUGACCGUCCCUGAACCCCUGGCUCUUUUCUCUUGGCUUAUUUCUUACUUUUGUACUUUGUAAGCAAAUGUUUAAUAUUAAUAUAAAAAAAAUAAAAAAAUAGAUCUCUCCUGAAGGUUUCACAUACGCAUAUAACAUGAAGAGCUUUUUCUUGUGUUUUCCGAGAUUGAGUAACUUCCUUGAUCUGUUGUCAAGUCAAGUCAAGUCAAGUCAAGUGUUGACUUGACAAUGAAGAAACACCCUUCACGAGAACACAGAAGUGAAAGAAAGAUCAGUGCUUUUGAAGAUCAAGGUGUCAUUUCAGAGGUGGACAAAGAAACAUCUGCAAAUACUGUCAUUAUUCAAGUCCAUGAAUGACGAUGGCAUCUGUAAAAAAGCUGCUUCAUGAUACUCUAGAUAACCUGAUAGAAGAAGAUCUGAAGAGAUUUAAGAGUUACUUAAAAGAAGAUGGACCCGUUGGAGCUGGUAAACUGGAGAAGCUGAUGUCACUGAUAUAGUGGAUAUAAUGAUGGAGCGUUUUAGAGCAGAAGAAGCUGUGAAGAUCACACUGAACAUCCUGAGAAAGAUGAACCAGAACCAGCUGGCUGAAGAGUUACAGAACAGCUACAAUGAAGUGCAGAAAUCAUCAGAGCCAGCUGAGAAACACACAAGAAAACAAGAUGAUUUCUGGCUGACGGAAUUCAUGGAAACUCACAAAAUGAACAUGAAGGAGAAAGUAGAACACAUUUUUGAGGGUAAAAAGGAAAAUGAAGCACAUCUCAAGGAUGUUUUCACUGAACUCUUCAUUACGGAGGGGGAUCAUAAAGAAGUCAAUCAAGAACAUGAGAUUAUGAAGACUGAUGAAGCCAUUAAACCUCGUAAAUCACAGAACAGUUCAAUCAAAUGCAAUGAUAUAUUUAGUCUGAACAAAAAUAAGAAAAAGAUUGUUCUAACCAAAGGCAUCGCUGGCAUUGGAAAAACGGUCUCAGUGCACAAGUUCAUUCUGGACUGGGCAGAAGGAAAAGCCAAUCACGAUAUAGACUGUGUUUUCCUGCUUCCAUUCCGAAAGAUUAACUGCAUUAAAGACAGAAAGAUCAGUCUGCAUGAGUUUCUACAGAUAUUUAAUCCAGAACUGAAGAAACUGGAAACAUCAAAGAUAUGUAAGAUAUAUAAAUGUAAUCUUGCGUUUAUCUUUGAUGGACUGGAUGAGAGUCGACUGACUUUGGAUUUUGACAGUGGAAUGGUGACGAGUGUUGAGGAGCGAUCAUCUGUAGAUGAACUGUUUACAAGUCUGGUCAAUGGGACUCUGCUUCCAUCAGCUCACGUCUGGGUGACAUCACGACCAGCAGCAGCCAAUCAGAUCCUUCUUGAGUAUGUAGGGUUUUUCACAGAGGUGCGAGGAUUCACUGACGAGCAGAAGGAGGAGUAUUUCAGGAAGAGAAUCACAGAUGAGACUCAGGCCUCCAGAAUGAUCUCACACAUCAAGAAAUCUCGUAGUCUCUACAUCAUGUGCCACAUUCCCGUGUUCUAUUGGAUCACAGCCACUGUUCUUCAGGACAUUCCCAUUGGGAGCAAUGCAGAGAACUUCAACACGACACUCACUAAAAUGUACAUUCACUUCCUGCUGAUACAGAUGAGGAUGAAGAGCCAGAAGCAUGAUGGAAAAACAGAAAGAGAUUGUCCCAAGCUCUUAGAUUCCAAUAAAACAAUGAUUUUGAAGUUAGCUAAGCUAGCAUUUGAACAGCUGAAGAAGGAAAACAUUGUGUUCUAUGAGGAAGACCUGAGAGCAUGUGAUAUUGAUGUGAGUGAAGAAGACUUUGAGUCCACAGGAAUGCUCACUGAAAUCUUUCAGCAAGUAGCUGGACUCCACGAGAUGAAGAUCUUCUGCUUCGUGCAUCUGAGUGUUCAAGAGUUCCUCGCUGCAGUGCACGUGUUCCUCUGCUACCUGAAUAAGAACAUGGACGAGCUGCAGUUUUUCACUGAAGAAACACUAAGAGAGGUCAGGCCUGACCACAUUGACAAGCCAGACAAAAAUAUUGCUUUACACGAUUUACUAAAGAAGGCUGUAAGCAAAGCAAUGCAAAGUCAGAAAGGACAUUUAAAUCUAUUUUUACGGUUUCUGCUGGGCAUUUCACUGGAAUCCAAUAAGAAACUUCUUAGAGGCCUGUUCACACACACUGAAGACAGCAAAGACAGCGUCACAGAAAUAACCAAACACAGCAAAUACAGCAUCACAGAAAUAACCAAACACAUUAAAAAACUAUUAGAAAACCAGAAGAGGCACAUCUCACCUGAUACUUCUGUCAACCUGUUCUACUGCUUAUUGGAGCUCAAUGACAAUUCAUUAUUUACAGAAAUCCAAAGAUACCUCAAGAUCAUCUCCUGGAAGACCCCUCUCGUCUUCCAUGUGCUCAUUGAUGGCUUAUGUACUGAUGAUGUCAGAGGAGGUGCUGGAUGAGUUCAACCUGAGGAUGUACAUUACUGAACCGGGAGGCCGCAGGAAUCUCCUGCCAGCUUUGAGAUGCUGCAGAAAAGCCAUAAAGCUUGAAUGUUCACAGAGAACAGGACAUAACCUAUCACUGUUACUACAAAAACUGUUCCUACAUGAUGAACACAGAACAAAUGCCAUGGACAAAUAUCCUGUUUUGACAGACUCUCCUUCUGUUCUCUCAAUGACACCUACUGCGAGCCUGUGGCUUUGGCCCUGCAGAUACCAAAUUCACCCCUGAUAGAGCUGAACAUGAGUGGCAAUGACCUGAGUGUCUCAGGAGUGAAGCUGCUCUGUGAUGGACUGAAGAGCCCAAACUGUCAGCUGAAGAUACUGAGGUUUGAGAUUCAUUCCAACCUUAUACAACACCCACCUCAGUAUUUUAGUCACUAAAAACAGAGUAUGACAUUCUAAAACGCUUAAAAUUAAAAGGAUUAACGUGCCUUAAUGCACAAAGACAGUGAUUUUAAUAUAUCAAAUUCAGUAUACACUGUAUUGAUGAUGCAUAAUAAAUACAGGCAAGCAGAUGAACCCAUAGUUUUAAUACAGUGCGCUAAAUUGCAGAUGAAUUGUUUUUCUUUAUAAUGGUUUCCUAUGGGGAACAAUUUACAUGAAAUUUGCAAGUUUUUCUCUUCAUUAUGACCACUUAUGAGAGAUAACAUGUCAAAUCUUGCUGUACAUUUCUAAGACAAACAAAGUGUCAUCUCUAAGUUAUUAGAUAAUAUGACAGUGUUAUAUCAUAUAUCAUACAACAAAUGGUGCAAAUCAAAUUAGUAGUAUGGACAACAAAGACAAGCAUAGUAACCUUUGUCUUUUGUUGCACGUCUAAACGAUCAAAUACUGUACACACGGAAAUAUGUCAAAUGCCCGUUUUGUUGAGUAUUCACAUAAACACAGUCAACGUAAACACUGUACUGUGCAUUUUUCUUCAUUCACUCAUGCAUACACACACCCACGCACUUACACACCCUCACUAUCUCUCUCUCUCUCUUACUCACACACACACACACACAGGUUUGUUUGCUAUCAAAGUGAGGACAUUCCAUAGGCGUAAAGGUUUUUAUACUUUACAAACUGUACAUUCUAUCCCCCUACACCAACCCCACUCCUAAACCUACCCAUCACAAAAAAAUUCUGCAUUUUUACAUUUUUAAUAAAACAUUGUUUAGUAUGUUUUUAAAGCUAUUUCAAAUAUGAGGACUCACGAAAUGUCCUCAUAUUUCAUGUUUACGUUGUAAUACCAGUGUAAUACCCAUGUCAUUAUACAAAUUUGUGUCCUCAUAAAUCACAAAAAUGCACGCGCACACACACACACACACACACACACACACACACACACACACACACAAGCCUCCAUCUUGGAUCACACAUCAGGUCUAGCUUUACGCAGCCAUUCUAGUGUUCUUACUUCAGUAAUAUAUUGGUGUGGUCUCUGUACAUAAAAUCACUUUCACCUUUACCCUGACGGUUCCCUGCUGGUGGAAUGACCUGCCCAUCUCUACCCGAGCUGCUGAGUCUUUACCCAUCUUCAAGAAACUGCUGAAGAUGCAUCUUUUUCGGCAACACUUGACCCAUUAAUGCUAACACUAAAUAUUCUAUAACUGUUUUAAAAAACAACAACCUUGCUACGUGAACUGUGCUUGACUAACUGGGACUGAUCACGACACUUGCAUAUUGUUGUCCUAUUGUAAGUUUGAUUGCUUCUAUUGCUCUCCUCAUUUGUAAGUCGCUUUGGAUAAAAGUGUCUGCUAAAUGAUUAAAUGUAAACAUAAUUUUACUUUUACUUAUGUAAUUUGUUUGGAAUUUUCUUAAGUAAAAAUUGUACAAUAAAAUAACUAAAAUAUCUGGUUUAACAAUACAAUACAAUACAAAAAUAUAAAACAAAAGUAACUGCCACAAAUUCAAUUGUAAAGCCAGAGCUGACCUGUAGAGAUGCUUUGUAAUUGAAAUAUAAGUUGUGAUUAUACUUAAAAUGACUGAUUCCUGAAACUGAAAAAGUUUGCAACGCUCAAGCUGUUUUUCCUGUUUAUUACUGUAAACUGCUUUGAUCUGUAAAGUGAUAAAUAAAGUUGACCUGACUUGACAAUUAAAACCAAAUUCAAUGUGAUGGAGAAAACAUAUUGUGCUUUCUACAUCUGAUAACAACAGCAUUACAAAUAACCUAUAGGGAAUCAGAAUUGUCAGGUUUGGCCCUGCCUGGAAAAAUCCCACCUAUCCGGCUGAUGCAUUCCCGUGAAUUUAUCUAUCAAGGUAUUUUGUUUUUCAAAAUUAAAAAAAAACCCUCCAAUAACACUAAUAAUACUUUAUACUACUAUAAUACUAAUUAUAUGACAUUAGCAUUAGUUUUGAGUACAGUACUACUAUUUUCAACAACAAAAUAAAAGUAAAAAGUUAACUCUUAAUUUAUAUUGGGUUAUGUUUAAUUCUGACAGAUUGUGAGAUAUUGAUCUUUCAUUAGGAUCUUAACUGCAUUUCUUUAUUUAAUUUCAUUUUAAUUCAAUUAAAGUUAAUUAAAAAUAAAGAUAUUUAAGAUAUUUGGCCAAAUGAUUUCUACAUAAAACAUUAUUACAUUAUUAACAUUAUUAUUGGUCCACUGGAGAGGUCCCGUUGCUUAUAAUAAGAGGACAUGCAAACACUGCAGUGCACUCAUACUCUGAGCUCACCCGCUGCACACUGCCUACAUGCUGCUUCUCUGUGCUCUCUUUUCACAAACAGUAAAAAGUUUUUCUACACUUUUGCAGAAAACAAUGUGUCGAGUGUCAACAGCACAGUUUAAGGCGUCGAGGCUGAUGCAGCAUUACAUUUACUCAGAACCUAAAACCCAAACUUACUCGAACACGAGUUCCUUCAGGAGAUACAAAUCUAUGAGUUUAUGAUCCUCAGUAUCUGGUAGAUGACUGUAUAGAUCUGAUCAGAACCAUAUUCUCCUUUCAGCAGAACUUAUAGUUUCUGAAAUGAGAGAGAUUUAACUCUUAUCAGUUUAUAUUAAAUGGAUGUGUAAUUAUUCAACAGAUUUAACAAGCGUUUGUUGUGAGUUCUGAUGUCACAGUUACAGAUAUUGUCGUCGUUUCU